UACGUAGGGUGCGAGCGUUGUCCGGAAUUAUUGGGCGUAAAGAGCUCGUAGGCGGUCUGGUAGGUCCGUUGUGAAAACUCGAGGCUCAACCUCGAGACGCCGAUGGAAACCAUCAGACUAGAGUCCGGAAGAGGAGAGUGGAAUUCCUGGUGUAGCGGUGAAAUGCGCAGAUAUCAGGAAGAACACCCGUGGCUAAGGCGGCUCUCUAGUACGGUACUGACGCUGAGACGCGAAAGCGUGGGGAGCGAACAGG
Molecule: ribosomal RNA, 253 nt
Filed under: uncultured bacterium
Lineage: Bacteria
Description: partial 16S ribosomal RNA
Rfam family: Bacterial small subunit ribosomal RNA
Source: RNAcentral